Molecule: long non-coding RNA, 733 nt
Organism: Canis lupus familiaris (dog)
Lineage: Eukaryota; Metazoa; Chordata; Mammalia; Carnivora; Canidae
Exons: 3
Source: RefSeq, a predicted model, not a curated record
AUGGCAGUGUUGGCAAAGAGAGCAUGAUCGAGGUCAAAUGGAGAAGUCUUUGAGUAUAUAUUGAACCAGUACAAGUCAAUUGCUCUUUUCCAGUACACGGAGCCCUACUACUGAGGAAAACGAUGCUCUCUUGCCCUCCACCGUCCUUAGUGAGGUGAAAUCUGGAUGAAUUUUCUGCUCUGGGAUCACCUCAAAAUGACAAUAUUAAAAGAUCUGACAGGUUGCAGAGGAGAAGGGUGACAAGAAACGUUGGCAGAUGGCCAAGCCACCAGCAUAUUCAGCAUCAUUGGCCUGUACUGCCGUUUCCUUAGAGAACUUAAUUCUGGAUUAAAAACUUGGAAAGAUGGAAGAUAUCCACUGCAAUCAACUAGAGACUAUCCUUACAAUACCUUUCCUUCUCAAUACAGCAUUAUGUAAUUAAAAUUGAAUUUAGUUAUAUGUGAUGUAAUCACUUUAAAAUAUUCACGUAUAUGAAAAAUUACCAACUAUAAUUUUUAUGUCAUUGUUAUGAAUUGCUCUAUGUCCAUAGAUUUAUCAUUUCCAUUUAUAGUUAUUUUUUACAAUCAAGGCUCUCCACUCUAUAGCAUGCAGCUGACACUAAUCAUUUCUCCCUUGAAUCUUGUCUAAUUUGUAAAAUUUUAAGGACUGUCUACCACAAGACUUUUAAUAAAAUGUCUGUCUGCAGUGAAACCAGUAGGUGCUCCAUGCGGUGAGUUUUUGGCUUCAGCAACUG